This 200-nucleotide ribosomal RNA is filed under the name uncultured bacterium. RNAcentral describes it as "partial 16S ribosomal RNA". It matches the Rfam family "Bacterial small subunit ribosomal RNA", at positions 8 to 204 of the family's 1533-position model. The record is from RNAcentral.
AGAGUUUGAUCCUGGCUCAGGACGAACGCUGGCGGCGUGCCUAAUACAUGCAAGUCGAGCGAAUCUUUGGGAGUUGCUCCCAUUAGGUUAGCGGCGGACGGGUGAGUAACACGUGGGCAACCUGCCUGUAAGACUGGGAUAACUUCGGGAAACCGGAGCUAAUACCGGAUAAUCCUUUUCCUCACAUGAGGGAGAGCUGA